Molecule: ribosomal RNA, 668 nt
Filed under: uncultured bacterium
Lineage: Bacteria
Description: bacterial SSU rRNA
Rfam family: Bacterial small subunit ribosomal RNA
Source: RNAcentral
CUAAUACCGCAUAAGCGCACAGCUUCGCAUGAAGCAGUGUGAAAAACUCCGGUGGUACAAGAUGGACCCGCGUCUGAUUAGCUGGUUGGUGAGGUAACGGCCCACCAAGGCGACGAUCAGUAGCCGGCCUGAGAGGGUGAACGGCCACAUUGGGACUGAGACACGGCCCAAACUCCUACGGGAGGCAGCAGUGGGGAAUAUUGCACAAUGGGGGAAACCCUGAUGCAGCAACGCCGCGUGAGUGAAGAAGUAUUUCGGUAUGUAAAGCUCUAUCAGCAGGAAAGAAAAUGACGGUACCUGACUAAGAAGCCCCGGCUAACUACGUGCCAGCAGCCGCGGUAAUACGUAGGGGGCAAGCGUUAUCCGGAUUUACUGGGUGUAAAGGGAGCGUAGACGGUUUUGCAAGUCUGAAGUGAAAGCCCGGGGCUUAACCCCGGGACUGCUUUGGAAACUGUAGGACUAGAGUGCAGGAGAGGUAAGUGGAAUUCCUAGUGUAGCGGUGAAAUGCGUAGAUAUUAGGAGGAACACCAGUGGCGAAGGCGGCUUACUGGACUGUAACUGACGUUGAGGCUCGAAAGCGUGGGGAGCAAACAGGAUUAGAUACCCUGGUAGUCCACGCCGUAAACGAUGAUUACGAGGUGUUGGUGGGUAUGACCCAUCGGUGCCGC